GUGCUCACUUCAGCAGAAUGGAUACUAAAACUGGAAUGAUACAAAGAUUACUAUGGUCCCCAUGCAAGGAUGGCAUGCAAAUUUGUGAAGUGUUCUGUGUUAAA
RNAcentral lists this small nuclear RNA (104 nucleotides) under Meriones unguiculatus (Mongolian gerbil). The record is from RNAcentral. Lineage: Eukaryota; Metazoa; Chordata; Mammalia; Rodentia; Muridae.